RNAcentral lists this long non-coding RNA (544 nucleotides) under Gallus gallus (chicken). Its description in RNAcentral is "lncRNA (ENSGALG00010000543.1)". The record is from RNAcentral. Lineage: Eukaryota; Metazoa; Chordata; Aves; Galliformes; Phasianidae.
GGCUUUGAGCAGCACUGUGCAGGAAUGAUCGGCUGGUAAGUGAACAGGCUGCGGCGCUUCAAAGUGCGCUGUGGGUGGGGAGCACGAUGACAGCCCAAGGGUGGCACCAGGAGAUGCAGCACAGCCCUCUCCAGCAGCAGGGUGCAUUAAUUGGUCUUGCUAAUUCUUGACGGAGAAGGCAGGAGCUGGGCAGCGGUACUGCAGCUCGUCUGGCAGCUUUGCAGCUGAGUUUGGAAGUAGAAGAUGUGGCUGUGAAAGAAGAAGUCAGUUGCUGGGACGUCCCCCUGUUCUUCCCCUAGCUGUCCCCUUGCCUCAGCCUGAAUUCUUCUUGCAUUCCUGUAACCGCAAUCGUAACAGCCAUAGAGCUGGAGGGGGCCUUUAAAGGCCAUCUCGUCCAACAGCCCCGCAACAAAGAGGGACACCGCAGCUCCAGCAGGCUGUCCAGGGCCUGGUCCAGCCUGGCCCUCAAAGGCUCCCCGUGCUCCAACCCCGCAUUUCCUGCCGAGCCCUGCCGUAAGGAACUCCUGGCACCCACGGAAAAGCC